AUGACCGCUGGUGAGACUUCCCAGCACUCUUUUCCCUGCUACGGCAGCCAUGGCGCUGUGUUCCCCGGUUGUGACGUUUCAAGAGAGAAGAUGGGAACUUUUCCAGGAAGUCUAAACCAAGUUAGAAAAAAUCUCAUCACACAAGACCUAGAAGCCUCCAGUUGUGGAACUCUCCAGUCCACAAGCCCAAUUCCAAUAGCAGAUUGAAGGGUCUGGAAAGAAAAAGAGAUUAAAAGCUCACUGAGAGUUCAAAUGCUGAAUAAAUAUUUACCAAGCACCUAUCACUCAGUAAAUAUGUCAGACAUUGAAGACACACUAGAAACAAGUUUCACCAGAAGCUUACAGACUAGUGGAGGAAAAUUGCAAGUGAGCAGACAAUUGUAAGAAGUAAGUCAAUGAUUAUAGAUGUGAUAGAUAUUUGACAGAAUUAAUAAAUGGGCAAAUAAUCUCAAUUUAGUAGUUUACAUUUCUAA
RNAcentral lists this long non-coding RNA (473 nucleotides) under Macaca mulatta (Rhesus monkey). RNAcentral's name for it is "lncRNA (ENSMMUG00000057854.1)". The record is from RNAcentral. Lineage: Eukaryota; Metazoa; Chordata; Mammalia; Primates; Cercopithecidae.